AUUGAACGCUGGCGGCAUGCUUUACACAUGCAAGUCGAACGGUAACAGGCCGCAAGGUGCUGACGAGUGGCGCACGGGUGAGUAAUGCAUCGGAACGUGCCCAGUCGUGGGGGAUAACUACUCUAAAGAGUAGCUAAUACCGCAUACGAUCUAUGGAUGAAAGCGGGGGACCGUAAGGCCUCGCGCGAUUGGAGCGGCCGAUGUCAGAUUAGGUAGUUGGUGGGGUAAAGGCUCACCAAGCCAACGAUCUGUAGCUGGUCUGAGAGGACGACCAGCCACACUGGGACUGAGACACGGCCCAGACUCCUAAGGGAGGCAGCAGUGGGGAAUGUUGGACAAUGGGCGCAAGCCUGAUCCAGCAAUGCCGCGUGCAGGAAGAAGGCCUUCGGGUUGUAAACUGCUUUUGUACGGAACGAAACGGCUCUGGUUAAUACCCGGGGCUAAUGACGGUACCGUAAGAAUAAGCACCGGCUAACUACGUG
This 482-nucleotide ribosomal RNA is filed under the name uncultured bacterium. RNAcentral's name for it is "partial 16S ribosomal RNA". It matches the Rfam family "Bacterial small subunit ribosomal RNA", at positions 30 to 507 of the family's 1533-position model. The record is from RNAcentral.